GGUAGCGAUACUGCACUGGUUAGGUAUGGAUCCGAAGCCUCUUGAAGGUCAACAAAGGCUCUCCAUACCCUACUUCGACUCAAUACGUCCUCGGCGUAUAGAACGGUAACAUGUCUCUCCGAAUAUCUGAGCUUGGGUAUACGGGGAAACCCAACCCCUUGGGAAGAUGAUUGAUAUGGCAAAAUUGAGCGGA
This is a non-coding RNA of Anopheles maculatus, 193 nucleotides long. Lineage: Eukaryota; Metazoa; Arthropoda; Insecta; Diptera; Culicidae. The record is from Rfam.